RNAcentral lists this non-coding RNA (76 nucleotides) under Roseburia sp. Its description in RNAcentral is "Fluoride sequence". It matches the Rfam family "Fluoride riboswitch aptamer (crcB RNA motif)". Lineage: Bacteria; Bacillati; Bacillota; Clostridia; Lachnospirales; Lachnospiraceae. The record is from RNAcentral.
AUCAUUGUUGGGAAUGAGGUUCUCCCUUAGUGAUAACACUAAAACCGCUUAUUAAGCUGAUGACUUCUGCGAAUUA